Molecule: non-coding RNA, 46 nt
Filed under: Trichobilharzia regenti
Lineage: Eukaryota; Metazoa; Platyhelminthes; Trematoda; Strigeidida; Schistosomatidae
Source: RNAcentral
GUGCUGAUGAAGAGUCCCAAACUAGGACGAAACAGCUGUCCAGUAU